RNAcentral lists this ribosomal RNA (305 nucleotides) under uncultured bacterium. RNAcentral describes it as "bacterial SSU rRNA". It matches the Rfam family "Bacterial small subunit ribosomal RNA", at positions 333 to 653 of the family's 1533-position model. The record is from RNAcentral.
UUUUCCCUACGGGACGCAGCAGUGGGGAAUAUUGGGCAAUGGACGCAAGUCUGACCCAGCAACGCCGCGUGAAGGAAGAAGGCUUUCGGGUUGUAAACUUCUUUUAAGGGGGAAGAGCAGAAGACGGUACCCCUUGAAUAAGCCACGGCUAACUACGUGCCAGCAGCCGCGGUAAUACGUAGGUGGCAAGCGUUGUCCGGAUUUACUGGGUGUAAAGGGCGUGCAGCCGGGAAGACAAGUCAGAUGUGAAAUCCCGCGGCUCAACCGCGGAACUGCAUUUGAAACUGUUUUUCUUGAGUAUCGGG